GCCUACGGGAGGCAGCAGUGAAGAAUAUUGGUCAAUGGGCGGAAGCCUGAACCAGCCAAGUCGCGUGAGGGAAGAAGGCCCUGCGGGUCGCAGACCUCUUUGGACGGGGAGCAAGGCCGCCGACGUGUCGGCGGAAGGAGAGUACCCGUAGAACAAGCAUCGGCUAACACCGUGCCAGCAGCCGCAGUAAUACGGAGGAUGCGAGCGUUAUCCGGAUUUAUUGGGUUUAAAGGGUGCGCAGGCGGCACGGCAAGCCGGCGGUCAAAUCGCGGGGCUCAACCCCGCCCCGCCGUCGGAACUGCCGG
This 305-nucleotide ribosomal RNA is filed under the name uncultured bacterium. RNAcentral describes it as "bacterial SSU rRNA". It matches the Rfam family "Bacterial small subunit ribosomal RNA", at positions 337 to 639 of the family's 1533-position model. The record is from RNAcentral.